RNAcentral lists this ribosomal RNA (424 nucleotides) under Verrucomicrobiota bacterium. RNAcentral describes it as "Verrucomicrobia bacterium partial 16S ribosomal RNA". It matches the Rfam family "Bacterial small subunit ribosomal RNA", at positions 355 to 776 of the family's 1533-position model. Lineage: Bacteria; Pseudomonadati; Verrucomicrobiota. The record is from RNAcentral.
UGAGGAAUAUUGGUCAAUGGACGAGAGUCUGAACCAGCCAAGUAGCGUGCAGGAUGACGGCCCUAUGGGUUGUAAACUGCUUCUGUUUGGGAAUAAUCGACAUUACGUGUAAUGUUUUGCAUGUACCAUUCGAAUAAGGACCGGCUAAUUCCGUGCCAGCAGCCGCGGUAAUACGGAAGGUCCAGGCGUUAUCCGGAUUUAUUGGGUUUAAAGGGAGUGUAGGCGGUUGGUUAAGCGUGUUGUGAAAUGUAGAUGCUCAACAUCUGACUUGCAGGGCGAACUGGCUGACUUGAGUACACACAAAGUAGGCGGAAUUCAUGGUGUAGCGGUGAAAUGCUUAGAUAUCAUGAAGAACUCCGAUUGCGAAGGCAGCUUACGGGAGUGUUACUGACGCUUAAGCUCGAAGGUGCGGGUAUCGAACAGG